AUUGAACGCUGGCGGAAUGCUUUACACAUGCAAGUCGAACGGCAGCACGGACUUCGGUCUGGUGGCGAGUGGCGAACGGGUGAGUAAUGUAUCGGAACGUGCCCAGUCGUGGGGGAUAACGUAGUGAAAAUUACGCUAAUACCGCAUACGAUCUAUGGAAGAAAGCGGGGGAUCGCAAGACCUCGCGCGAUUGGAGCGGCCGAUAUCAGAUUAGGUAGUUGGUGGGGUAAAGGCCCACCAAGCCAAAGAUCUGUAGCUGGUCUGAGAGGACGACCAGCCACACUGGAACUGAGACACGGUCCAGACUCCUACGGGAGGCAGCAGUGGGGAAUUUUGGACAAUGGGCGAAAGCCUGAUCCAGCCAUUCCGCGUGCAGGAUGAAGGCCCUCGGGUUGUAAACUGCUUUUGUACAGAACGAAAAGGUUUCUACUAAUACUAGGAGCUCAUGACGGUACUGUAAGAAUAAGCACCGGCUAACUACGUGCCAGCAGCCGCCGCGG
Molecule: ribosomal RNA, 500 nt
Filed under: uncultured bacterium
Lineage: Bacteria
Description: partial 16S ribosomal RNA
Rfam family: Bacterial small subunit ribosomal RNA
Source: RNAcentral